Small nucleolar RNA from Lonchura striata (white-rumped munia), 170 nucleotides. NCBI's taxonomy places the organism in Eukaryota, Metazoa, Chordata, Aves, Passeriformes, Estrildidae. The record is from Ensembl.
GCAGCGCUGUGUGCACAGUUUCCCAUCUGUGUCUGGUGGUAGGGUCUGUGUGUGUUUUGCACAUAGACUGUACUGCUCACACAAAACCUGUGGCCAAAGAUGAACCUGAGAUCAUAGUACUGGUUUAGUGAUGUCUGCCCACUGACCAGCCUCCACACUCUCAAACAUCU